This is a long non-coding RNA of Vespula pensylvanica (western yellowjacket), 5096 nucleotides long. RefSeq lists it as uncharacterized. The record is from RefSeq and is a predicted model, not a curated record. The transcript has 4 exons. NCBI's taxonomy places the organism in Eukaryota, Metazoa, Arthropoda, Insecta, Hymenoptera, Vespidae.
UAAAGAUUAAAAGUUUUAUUAAAGAGAUCAUCUAAGUUAAGGAAAGAAAAAUUGACCUAGACUAAAAAAGAAGGUAUCCAGUAUCGUUAUACAAACUUAGUUCAAAUGUGUUUCUGGUACGUGCUUUCAUUUCUCGCUCGUUCUGCUCCCGUUUCUAACAUUAUCCUUGCUCUUUGAAAUAUUUCGAAAGAAAGAAGUUGUGAAUGAUAUAAAGUUAAUCAAGUAACGUUAAUUAAAUGUGAAAUAUUAUGUAAUCGACAUUACAUGUUUUCUUUUUUUUUUUUUCAUCAUUAUGAUUAAAAAUGAGCAUUCUAAUACGAAAUUAUUCAUUAGAUACUUUUUUCUAUUUUUAUUAGGAAUUCGAUAUUUAAGGACAUUUUUCAGGUAUCACACGUCAUGAUCAUCUCCCGUUACGGUUUUCUAGAAAUAAGCUAUUGGUUACGCGAAAACGUACUUGGAUAUCUAUUCGUGCAUAAACGUUCGCUAGCAUAAACGUAUAAAAUCACGACAUGCAUAUAUGAUCGAUAGGCAUUCAUAGCUCUUGAUCCGUAUAAUUCUCCCGCACAAGAGGAUACUAUGACUGCAUUGUCUGGCUGUCGACUCCUCGUAUAUCGCAAUUUUGACCGAUCCGUUUUACGCUUUAUUCGAAAAAUAGAUAUUUUCGCAUAUCUACCUGCUUCCUUUCUUUAUGUCACGAUCUUUGAUCGAGGAAAGAAAAAUGUCUAUUCGAGUAUCGAUUCUAUUCGGAUAUAUCAAUCCCGCUUCCGUCGGAAAAAGUAAGAAAAGAAACAGAGUAGGAACGCUUAAAAAUGGAAAAGAAUAACUUUUUUAUAUCUUUUAAGUGUUAAUAUGUCAAAAUUUGAAAUGUGUGCAAUUUAGCGAAAGAUCAAGAUAGUUUAACGAAUUCUUAUUUUUGUUUUGUUUUCUUUUGAUGGAUUCUUUUAACGACUUUCUAUAUCUAUCAUCUUUAUCAAAAAACGAUUAUAGUCAUCAUGAAGUAACUUUGGAUUUUAUGAAAGUAGAAAGAGCUCAAUAAAUAUAAAUAACUAAUAUGCAUCUUACACGAUCAUUUCCAAUAAUAGAGACGUUGCAUGAAAGCGUAGGACUAUUUGCCAAUAAAGCUUUGUCUUCUUCUACAUUCGUUCUGCAUUCGAGACAACCCUCGAAAGGCCACCGAAAGGGCUUUUGGUCGUGAAUGAUGGCAAGGGCAACGACGAACGAAGUCGAAGAGGAUAAGAACGAAAGGAAUGAUGAAUAAAGGAAGACGGGUGGAUAUGAACAGAGAAAGAAAGAAAAAGAGAGAGGAACACCUCGAACGGUUGGCGUGAGGGGAAGUCGUUUCGUCAAUGGCCACCCUAUGUAUAGCUGUAUAUCACAAUACAGAACACUAGAAAGAGAAAAAAAUUGCCAAAGAAGAAGUCCUAUUUGACCUUAUUCAGGAAGAUUUUCUAAGUGUAAAUAGCAGUAAAAGGACGUCUGUACUCUCUACCUGCUGGACACUUUCUUUGCUGUCAACGGCCACCUUUUUUGUUCUGAAAGAUUGAAAUGUAACAUUGACGCAUCGUCGACCUACUGAGGUCGAUGGACAAUCGAGACUCGAGAAUUUCGAUACACUUUAACACAUCUUUCUAAGAAUUUUGUCCUUUUUGACCGAUUCUUCGACAUCUUUCAAAAAAAUGUCUUUUCAAGGAAAAUUCAGUUAUUUAUGACUUUUUUUAUUAUGUAGAUAUUCGGGAUGUGUUUAUCCUGAUAAUAUCGAAACAAUAUGAUUAAACUUCACAACAUUGUAAAGUAUUUUUCGAAAAAUGUAAAAGGCGCCGAUCCCACUUGGAACUUCAUUUGGUAUAAAAGAGCCUGUAUGAAAUUUAGCACCUAGAAGACAGUUACGAUGCGCAUCAGAAACGUUUCUUCUUAGACGGUUGUAAACCGCUAAUUUCACAGUCGUUUAAAAGACGAUAACUCAUAGAGAUUUACAAUACGUUUUAGUAAUAACUGUUCGCUCUCGACACGAUAUUCCAUUAAUAUUCAGAAAAGUAUAGUUUAUGGGAAUAAUUUUUCGAAAUAUUUAAUGAUUUUAAUGAAAACUCUAACAAAUCUUCGAAAGAGAUAAAUUCCAUUGAUUUUUUUCGAGUUUCGCCGAUUACAAAAUACUACAUUCUAUGAAGUGAGAAGAACCGUGACGAUUCCACGGGUGGUCUUCGAACAACAACCCUUCAGGGUUCUUGUAAAGUAGUAGCAACAGUCGAGCACCUCUUUAACACUCUACUCUCUCUCUCUCAUUUUCUUCAGUUCGUGAUCGAACGGUGAGCAAGGACUUCUCGAUGGGAUGUACGAAGUGGCCCCGUCGCGAGCUUUCUUCUCUCAAUUAAGCGCGACAGUGUCGAGAAAAACGUAUGCAGCUGCCAUUUAAACGCCCAUCUACACGAGAUUUAGUUUUUGCCCACGCGUUCAUGAGAAACAGAGAGAAGAAGAAAGAAAGAAUGGGAAAAAUACAUACGGGUUUUGCUUGUGCAGAGAUCAUUGAUACCAUGAACAAUCAUUAUAAACGGUUUUUCUACGGACGCCCUGGGAACAGGAUUGAAAAGAGAAGGUAGGAAUAAGAACUGGUCGGUACGAUGACAUCGAGAUUUUUAUGAUUCCGCCCAGAUAGCGGGACGAAUGGAAGACGAUUAAAUCGAUUGAUUCAACAUGAGUCAUUGUCGAAGUUUGAAAACCAAUGAAAUAGUUAACUAGCUUUGAAGUAAAAGCGCCGUAAAAUGGAAGGGAUCUGGCGUGAAAGUUAAGAUUAGAUGAUGUGUAAAUGAGAAACCAAAUUUUAAGUAAUUAUGAUAUAUCAAUGGUUGUUAAAAACGAAUAAUAUAUAAAUAUUUAUUAACGAAGAAGAGACAAAAAUAGAUAUGACUUUUUCUUAAUUGAUCUUUUUCUUAAACAGGGUUUUAGUUAAACUCUUUUAAAGUUCUUGCAAAGUUUUUCAAAGGAUGUCCUAUUUUAAUGGUUCCGCACGAAUACUGUUAUAUCCAUGCAAUUUGCUAAUGAGCAUGAAACUUUUUAAAGAAGACGCUAGCGUGAAAUUGUAUCUCAUGAAAGAGGGGAAACAAGAACGGGUACGUCGUCGCUAAAGUCGGGGGUGAUUUUGACGAGAGGGUGCAUCACCUGGUAGAACCAUCUAUCACACGAUACGAAAAGGAAGAGGGGACUCCAAAGAAAGUGAGAAACAGAAAGAACAUGGACACACGGACACAUGCGCACAAAGACAUCUACUAAGCGAGGGAGGAACAAACGAAAGGGACGUAUCCACAAUUUGUCCUCGUCACGUUUAACGUGGCUGCCUUCGGGAAAAGGGCCAAAAGGGGUUGGAGCUGAACGAUAGAACCCUGGCGUUCGCAGUUAUAACCUUGUUACAUCCACUGUAUAUUACAGCACACACCUAUCUUACACUCUCACAGCCUGUCCAUUAACUUCUCGUCGUAGGAUAUUAACAUUUUGUACAUUACUGAAAGAGAGAGAGAGAAUAUAAAGAGAGUAAGAGGAAAGGAUAUGCAUGAUCGUAAAACGCAGCCGGUGUUGGAUGCUCACCUACAUGUAAGUUCAGACAAAUUUUUUACAGCCAAACCUUAUGUGGAAUCCUUUGAUUUGAAUAUUAUUACACAAUAAUGAUGGUUUAGUAAUUUAUUUGCCAAUUUGUUUUACAUUUUAUCCUACAUAAGAAAUUUGUUAUCAAUCUAGGGAAUGUGAUUUAUUACAUUAAUAAUAAUUUUUUUUUAUUAUUAUUUUAUUCUUUUUUAUAAAAAGUCACAGGAAUAAAAUAAACGUAAACAUAGGAAAAUCUAAGGAUAACUGAACUAUAUUUUUUUACGGAGAAUAACUUAGUUAUAUACUUUUAUUAUAUCAAAUUGAUAAAAAAUAUCUAUCGACUACCGCCCAGUUAUAAGGUAUAAUAAAAUUAUAAAAUAAGCCUGAAGUAUAAAUGAAAUAUAAAUUUUUACAAAACGAAUUUUUUUAAAUAAAAAAAAAAUUACAGACAUCUACACGAUUCUUCGAAUCGCUAUUUUUACUUCGCUUAAUUAUUAAUUAAAUCGCACAUUUUUUCGAUAGAAUUCACGAGUGUCGUGUUUAACACCUAUGUAAAAAUUAGUAGACCCAAGAAUUUGAUAUGUAUUCAAGAGAAAUGCGAAACUCAAUGUGACGUGAUAAGUCUCGACAGGCAAUUAAGCCUGUCGCUGUAAUUCCCUAAUUCUCAUAAUAAUCAAACCGAUGCUGCCAUUGUUCUUGUACCGGCUAUUGUCUUAGCCGCACUUCGUACUUUUGUGCCACCCAUGCAAUAUGCCUCUUUGUUCUCUAUAAUCAGCCGUUACACGUCUUUCAGUUCAAGUUUGCAUUAAACCGCUUAAAUGGCAGGGUGGUCUGGAUCUUUUUCCUAUUAAAAGAUCGGGAUAAAAUUAAUUUUUAAUGGUAUCUGGCAACUUAUAAAAAAUAAAAUAUCAAACUGGUCCGAUUAAAAUAUUCAUCAUCGAUCAAAAAAAUAUUGACUAGUUAGUAAUAACAAAUAACAUCAAUUAAAGGAUUCUCCAAAGGUUUUCACGAACACGUGUUUCUUACCAAAAAUAGAAAACCAUUUUAUACUGAUUUGUCACAUCAUGUUUGGAAAAUAACUGCCCCCUAAGAGUUCGCAUCGGUGGUCCUCGACAUUUCCUGGAGAGGAUCUCGAAGGAUCGAGGAUGCAGAUGUUUAUUUUGACGCAAUGGACUAAGCUCACGACUUUUCGAGAGGAUACUCAAAGCUAUUGAGAAACUUUCGUUCUGCAUUCCGACAAUUUUACCGGAUUGACUCGCACGUUCUCAGCCAGACAAUGAACAUCCUUCGGUAAUAUGUGCAAUCCUCACGAUAUAAGAGCAACAGUAUCGACAGCAAUAGCAAAAUAAAGUAAAAAGAAGUAACGAAAGAAAGGAAAGCUUCCUUCUCGAGGAGUUUCGAUUACACGGUUACUUUGGUCUCGUCAAUAGAAAACGGGCAUACAGAAAGAAAACAGGAGACGAGAUCACGUCUCUUAUGGUGAUCGCGCGUUCUUCAGAAACACUGCAAGAAAAGAAAAAGAA